AGUGAACGCUGGCGGUAGGCCUAACACAUGCAAGUCGAACGGCAGCACAGUAAGAGCUUGCUCUUACGGGUGGCGAGUGGCGGACGGGUGAGGAAUACAUCGGAAUCUACUUUUUCGUGGGGGAUAACGUAGGGAAACUUACGCUAAUACCGCAUACGACCUACGGGUGAAAGCAGGGGAUCUUCGGACCUUGCGCGAUUGAAUGAGCCGAUGUCGGAUUAGCUAGUUGGCGGGGUAAAGGCCCACCAAGGCGACGAUCCGUAGCUGGUCUGAGAGGAUGAUCAGCCACACUGGAACUGAGACACGGUCCAGACCCCUACGGGAGGCAGCAGGGGGGAAUAUUGGACAAUGGGCGCAAGCCUGAUCCAGCCAUACCGCGUGGGUGAAGAAGGCCUUCGGGUUGUAAAGCCCUUUUGUUGGGAAAGAAAAGCAGCAGGUUAAUACCCCGCUGUUCUGACGGUACCCAAAGAAUAAGCACCGGCUAACUUCGUG
Molecule: ribosomal RNA, 492 nt
Filed under: uncultured bacterium
Lineage: Bacteria
Description: partial 16S ribosomal RNA
Rfam family: Bacterial small subunit ribosomal RNA
Source: RNAcentral